Molecule: ribosomal RNA, 292 nt
Filed under: Salinicola sp. MH3R3-1
Lineage: Bacteria; Pseudomonadati; Pseudomonadota; Gammaproteobacteria; Oceanospirillales; Halomonadaceae
Description: partial 16S ribosomal RNA
Rfam family: Bacterial small subunit ribosomal RNA
Source: RNAcentral
GUGCCAGCCGCCGCGGUAAUACGGAGGGUGCAAGCGUUGUCCGGAAUUACUGGGCGUAAAGCGCACGUAGGCGGCUUUGUAAGUUAGAGGUGAAAGCCCGGGGCUCAACUCCAGAAUUGCCUUUAAGACUGCAUCGCUUGAAUCAUGGAGAGGUGAGUGGAAUUCCGAGUGUAGAGGUGAAAUUCGUAGAUAUUCGGAAGAACACCAGUGGCGAAGGCGACUCACUGGACAAGUAUUGACGCUGAGGCACGAAAGCGUGGGGAGCAAACAGGAUUAGAAACCCCUGUAGUCC